Molecule: ribosomal RNA, 607 nt
Filed under: Trichoderma sp. T004-R2-1
Lineage: Eukaryota; Fungi; Ascomycota; Sordariomycetes; Hypocreales; Hypocreaceae
Description: eukaryotic LSU rRNA
Rfam family: 5.8S ribosomal RNA (bases 230-383)
Source: RNAcentral
AGUCGUAACAAGGUCUCCGUUGGUGAACCAGCGGAGGGAUCAUUACCGAGUUUACAACUCCCAAACCCAAUGUGAACCAUACCAAACUGUUGCCUCGGCGGGGUCACGCCCCGGGUGCGUCGCAGCCCCGGAACCAGGCGCCCGCCGGAGGGACCAACCAAACUCUUUCUGUAGUCCCCUCGCGGACGUUAUUUCUUACAGCUCUGAGCAAAAAUUCAAAAUGAAUCAAAACUUUCAACAACGGAUCUCUUGGUUCUGGCAUCGAUGAAGAACGCAGCGAAAUGCGAUAAGUAAUGUGAAUUGCAGAAUUCAGUGAAUCAUCGAAUCUUUGAACGCACAUUGCGCCCGCCAGUAUUCUGGCGGGCAUGCCUGUCCGAGCGUCAUUUCAACCCUCGAACCCCUCCGGGGGGUCGGCGUUGGGGAUCGGGAACCCCUAAGACGGGAUCCCGGCCCCGAAAUACAGUGGCGGUCUCGCCGCAGCCUCUCCUGCGCAGUAGUUUGCACAACUCGCACCGGGAGCGCGGCGCGUCCACGUCCGUAAAACACCCAACUUUCUGAAAUGUUGACCUCGGAUCAGGUAGGAAUACCCGCUGAACUUAAGCAUAUC